This 497-nucleotide ribosomal RNA is filed under the name uncultured bacterium. RNAcentral's name for it is "partial 16S ribosomal RNA". It matches the Rfam family "Bacterial small subunit ribosomal RNA", at positions 28 to 507 of the family's 1533-position model. The record is from RNAcentral.
GAUGAACGCUGGCGGCGUGCCUAAUACAUGCAAGUCGAGCGAACAGACGAGGAGCUUGCUCCUCUGACGUUAGCGGCGGACGGGUGAGUAACACGUGGAUAACCUACCUAUAAGACUGGGAUAACUUCGGGAAACCGGAGCUAAUACCGGAUAAUAUACUGAACCGCAUGGUUCAAUAGUGAAAGACGGUUUUACUGUCACUUAUAGAUGGAUCCGCGCCGCAUUAGCUAGUUGGUAAGGUAACGGCUUACCAAGGCAACGAUGCGUAGCCGACCUGAGAGGGUGAUCGGCCACACUGGAACUGAGACACGGUCCAGACUCCUACGGGAGGCAGCAGUAGGGAAUCUUCCGCAAUGGGCGAAAGCCUGACGGAGCAACGCCGCGUGAGUGAUGAAGGUCUUCGGAUCGUAAAACUCUGUUAUUAGGGAAGAACAAAUGUGUAAGUAACUAUGCACGUCUUGACGGUACCUAAUCAGAAAGCCACGGCUAACUACGUG